This 497-nucleotide ribosomal RNA is filed under the name uncultured bacterium. RNAcentral's name for it is "partial 16S ribosomal RNA". It matches the Rfam family "Bacterial small subunit ribosomal RNA", at positions 28 to 507 of the family's 1533-position model. The record is from RNAcentral.
GACGAACGCUGGCGGCGUGCCUAAUACAUGCAAGUUGAGCGCUGAAGGUUGGUACUUGUACCAACUGGAUGAGCAGCGAACGGGUGAGUAACGCGUGGGGAAUCUGCCUUUGAGCGGGGGACAACAUUUGGAAACGAAUGCUAAUACCGCAUAAAAACUUUAAACACAAGUUUUAAGUUUGAAAGAUGCAAUUGCAUCACUCAAAGAUGAUCCCGCGUUGUAUUAGCUAGUUGGUGAGGUAAAGGCUCACCAAGGCGAUGAUACAUAGCCGACCUGAGAGGGUGAUCGGCCACAUUGGGACUGAGACACGGCCCAAAAUCCUACGGGAGGCAGCAGUAGGGAAUCUUCGGCAAUGGACGAAAGUCUGACCGAGCAACGCCGCGUGAGUGAAGAAGGUUUUCGGAUCGUAAAACUCUGUUGGUAGAGAAGAACGUUGGUGAGAGUGGAAAGCUCAUCAAGUGACGGUAACUACCCAGAAAGGGACGGCUAACUACGUG